UAUGUGUGUGUGUGUGUGUGUUUAUGUGUGUGCGCAUACAUGUACACACAUACACACACACACACACACAUGA
Molecule: microRNA precursor, 73 nt
Filed under: Marmota monax (woodchuck)
Lineage: Eukaryota; Metazoa; Chordata; Mammalia; Rodentia; Sciuridae
Source: RNAcentral